AUCAACUAACUGGCCAACAGAUAUAAGAUUAGUAGACAACUUUGGGGACACAAAAACUGUAUUCAGAGAGGUUGAAAUAUCACCAACAGCAGUAAUAGGUAAAGAGUUACCAUCAGCAGUUUGAAUAUGAAGAUCCCCUUUAUACUUUUGAACAUUAUUUAGGGGUACUGUUGUGCUAGUCAUGUGAUUUGAAGCAGCGGAAUCAAAAUACCAAGGCUUAUGGGCAGAAUUUUUGUUACCUGAAAUUCCUAAAGUUGAAAAUGCAUUAACUAUCAUCUGCUGGAUCAUUUCAGGAGUAACAGAGGACUGACCAAAGUUCGGAGCAUUUGAGGAUCCAACUGAGACAUUGUAAGCAGUCUCAGAUUUCUUCGGAGGCCGGAUUGGACAAUCUUUAAUAGUAUGCCCAGCUUUCUUGCAAUAAUUGCAGAAUUUUUUAGUGCAAUUAGUAGCAACAUGUCCAAAUCCUUUGCAACUGUAGCAUUGGAUAUUACUCAUAUCUCUUCCACCUCUAUGCUUUCCUUGGGCAACAUAUGCAACAGGAAUUGGAGAAGAAUUCUGUGAUUUCUGAUCGAUGAAAGUUUGUGUCAUGAGCCGUUGUUCUUCUCGAAAAAGCUCACCUAUGCAAGUAUCGAUUGAAGGAACUGGAUUUCUAUUCAUGAGGUUGGACCUGACUGGUUCAAAAUCUCCCCGCAAUUUCAUUAAAAACUGAUCACGUUUGCUCGUCUCGUGUACACUUUGGACAGCAAAAGAACAUGAGAAUUUGGAUGUCCUAACCGCUUAUGCCACACUUGAUUAUUACAAUCAACGGCAUUACAAGAGACAUAAUUUGACACUAGAGAAGGUGAUGGGAGUAAAGGAAAGAGACGUCCCACUUUAGGCCCCUUCGCGAUCAUCUUCCCUGACACUUGAUCCUGCACAAAACAACCAGAAUUUGAAAAUUGAACGGUGCAAUUGUUAUCAACUAACUGGCCAACAGAUAUAAGAUUAGUAGACAACUUUGGGGACACAAAAACUGUAUUCAGAGAGGUUGAAAUAUCACCAACAGCAGUAAUAGGUAAAGAGUUACCAUCAGCAGUUUGAAUAUGAAGAUCCCCUUUAUACUUUUGAACAUUAUUUAGAGGUACUGUUGUGCUAGUCAUGUGAUUUGAAGCAGCGGAAUCAAAAUACCAAGGCUUAU
RNAcentral lists this long non-coding RNA (1177 nucleotides) under Daucus carota (carrot). Its description in RNAcentral is "long non-coding RNA (DCAR_LNC006127)". The record is from RNAcentral. Lineage: Eukaryota; Viridiplantae; Streptophyta; Magnoliopsida; Apiales; Apiaceae.